GACGUAGGGCGCAAGCGUUGUCCGGAUUUAUUGGGCGUAAAGAGCUCGUAGGCGGCUUGUUGCGUCGUCCGUGAAAACCCGCAGCUCAACUGCGGGCUUGCGGACGAUACGGGCAGGCUGGAGUUCGGUGGGGGAGACUGGAAUUCCUGGUGUAGCGGUGGAAUGCGCAGAUAUCAGGAGGAACACCGGUGGCGAAGGCGGGUCUCUGGGCCGAUACUGACACUGAGAAGCGAAAGCGUGGGGAGCGAACAGG
RNAcentral lists this ribosomal RNA (253 nucleotides) under uncultured bacterium. RNAcentral's name for it is "partial 16S ribosomal RNA". It matches the Rfam family "Bacterial small subunit ribosomal RNA", at positions 524 to 776 of the family's 1533-position model. The record is from RNAcentral.